This is a non-coding RNA of Acanthosepion pharaonis, 99 nucleotides long. The record is from the annotation of a GenBank genome assembly. NCBI's taxonomy places the organism in Eukaryota, Metazoa, Mollusca, Cephalopoda, Sepiida, Sepiidae.
AUUCAAGCACCGGUUCCACUACAAUCCUAGAAAUUAAGCAACGUCGAGGCUGGCCAGUACUUAGAUGGGUGACCACUUGGAAAUACCAAGUGCUGUAAG